UUUAGUAUUAUUAUUUUAAAUUUUAAAGGCCCACAACAAUAACAUGUUUCGAAUAAAACUUUAAUGAAAUCAAUUUAUUUAUAUAGCAUGUUAACAAUAUACAUAGCCUACAAGAUAUAAUUAUUAACACUAAUUCAAUUUGGGCUCAGAUUUGUUAGAUGAGAUGAGGGCCCAUUAUUAUGCUUGCAAAAAUUAGAGUAAGGGUGAAAGCUGGGUUCUUCAUUUUUUAGGUUAGGAAUUAGGAAGAGAGUUCCAUGCUUCUGCUUUGUGCCGCCAGCCCCCAUAAACGGGAUGAAGAGCUCUGCACUAGCGAGGGGGUAACACGUCAUGGUGGAAGGAGCAGAGCCACUCACGGCAGGGGCUAUUCGCGAUUUGCGCGUUGACUCAGAGCCACCCGACUGUCUCCAUGCCGUUUGGCGAUGACGGUAACGCUCUUCAUUGUCUCGCCGGAAAUACAGAAGUGCGUCCUCGGUUCAGAUGAAGUUGUUUCGGUUCUGGAAGGUCGUGUAACGAGGGAGGGGGUUCUUCUCUUCUGGUCGUGGUUGGGAUCCAUGGUUCUGCAGCUUCGAUGGGGAAGAUGGACCAUUGACCCGAUCCUCUCCUUCUCCUUUUCUGGUCAUCGUACUGACGCGGUUUCCAGCACCACACGGUUAUCUCGCGGUGGUCAGGGGUGCUGGAACAAGUUGACGCCUCUUUUUCUUCUUCUGGUUCACGAUUUGCCAAAUGGGAUGGUGAGGGAUAAAGGGUGAUGAUUUUUAGUUGAUGGGUUAAAGGGAUAAACAUAAUUAUUGAGUUAAUUUACUGGUUGAUGGUUUUAUAUUUCUUAUGCUUAACUACUCGGAUGAAUGUGAUUCUAUUGCAAGGGUUAAAAAUAAUGUUUAUGGAUUCAAUUUAUUCAUUCUUUUUGUUUGCUUAUUAGAGAAACAGUGAAUGUUCAUGAGUUUCCAAUACAUCAAUAGCAUAAUAGUAAAUAAAAAUGUGUUUCUGUUUAUGACAUAAGUGAAUAGCAUAUGACAAUGAAAUGUAUUUGCAUGUGACGAUAUUUUUUUGCCGC
RNAcentral lists this long non-coding RNA (1054 nucleotides) under Lupinus angustifolius (narrow-leaved blue lupine). Its description in RNAcentral is "long non-coding RNA (LANG_LNC003661)". The record is from RNAcentral. Lineage: Eukaryota; Viridiplantae; Streptophyta; Magnoliopsida; Fabales; Fabaceae.